AAUAACUAUAGUUGUGUAUCGUGUCCUGCUCUUGGAAAAGUUUGGUGUCUUCUGCACUUGAGACUGCUUGGCAUACUAGUGGCCAUAUUAGCCUUGUGAGUUGUAAGUCUGACCUAGAAACAACUGUGCCAAAUUGCACAAGCAGAUAGUAAUGUUUGGCAGUGGCUGAAGUUUUCACUGCUAAUGGACCAACUGGAACUGACUUUCACUUGGCAUCCCACUAAAUAAUGAAUCCUUGCCAUCCUUUCAGCAAUAUGCUUGUCUUUUCUCUCUAAUAUUUUCAGUGGUCAUGCAUUAAAUACUUAUAAAUGCAAUGACCCUUGCUGGGCAGUGGGUGAAUUCCUUGCAAGGUGGUGGAGGACACAGGAUAUCUGGAUGGUAUGCUUGUUAACAGAGGUGUCUGUUUCGGCCUGUGUUUAAGAGAGACACUCAGUCUGGGAUUUGUUCAUUAGAGUUUUGCAAUCCAGGGUCACUUCUAGGUGGGGCACCGUACUGACAACAAAACAGGAAUGAACAGUAUUUGUGAUCUUAAAUGAUGGGAUGUAUUGGUAGUGUGACACUGCUUGACUCACUCGACAGAUAUUAUAAAUAUGUCUCUAGGUCCUGGGACACAGCUCUACUCUCCAGAAUACCUCCCAAUAUUUAAAAAGGAACUCAGAUAAAUGUGAUAAAGAAAUGAGUGUGGCAGUGGUAUGCAUGUGGGUGUUGGGCGAUGGAAUGUGGUCUUGCAGAAAAUAGGCAACUAACUGCCUUACUAUACUUUUCCUCAACUGCCUUUACUAUACCUACUAUACUGUACUUUUGAGAGCAUCUUUAUUAUGAACAUAGUUGGAAACUAGGGGACUGCCAUCUGUAGCUCUCUGCUCAACAGGAUUUAUGGAUGGGAAAUCCAACCAGGGAAGAAGUGAGGGAGGGCAUCGGAGUUAACAGGUAAUUACAAUAUAAUAUAACACACAGGUGAAGAAAAACAGGUCUGACCAAGACACAAUGGGAUCACAGGGGAAAGAUGCUUAGCUUGGUCAUAAGGUUCAGGAAAGGUGGCUUAAAGUCAAUCAGAUGAAGAGAAGUAGGAAAGAGUUUCCAAAUAGCAGAAACAAAAGCAGUCACUAGGUGUAUGCAGUACAGUAAAGUAGAAGAUGGAUAUGGAGGUGGAAGAACAUGAAUGUCAUUCAAGUCUUGCAUGUCCUACCAGCAGGCAAAGGCAAAGACCUUAUCUUAGACAGUGGAGAGUCAUUAAGAGUCACUGCAGACAUCUAGUUGAAAGAUUAAGAGAACUUGGAUGAAGGAAGUGUAGCUAACUUGGCAGUGAAGGGGGAUUUGAGAAAUGUUUAGAAAGUAAAAUAAUGCACCUGGGGAUUCAUUGGGUGUGUGGAUUGUAAGAAAGGGAGAAGUCUAGGUUGCUAUCAGGUUCUUACUCUGGAUGCUUAGAGAAAUGGAGAUUCCCUGAGAUGGGAAAUUUCAAAAUGGAAACACGGUAGGGAGGAAACCAGGAUUAUGUGGUUCCUGUGGUCAUUUGUGUGCAUAGGGCCAGCGAGCAGGUACAUGAAUGAGUCUAAACUUGAGAGGGAAGGUAGGGCAUAAGACAUCCACUUGGAAUUCAUCAGCAAACAGGAAACAAAUGAGAUAGAUAGUCCCAAAAGAGCAUGAUAAAGACAGAUUUUUUUUCUCCCUUUGGCCACAAAAAUGCAGACAUUGCCAGUAACCUGAAAUACUUCAUAUCUGAUGGCCUCAAUCUUCUGAAUGAAAAAGAAGACAAGGUUUAUCUAUUGAAAGUGGAGCCCAAAUACUGAGAAAAAAAUUAGGACAAUCAACAAAGAGAACAAUUAAAUACAGAACUCAAAAAAAAAAAAAAAAAAAAAGAAAGAAAGAAAAGAAAACAAAAUUGUCCUGUUGGUACUAUGCAAGCUUUUGAAAUUGUUCCUGAAAACAAAAUGCCUUCAGCUUCCUCUCUGAAAUGGUAGUCCUUGGUCUCAUUCCCUAAACAGGCAAGAAGAGUGCUAAAAUCAUGUUAGGGUCAUACUCUAUCUCAGGAACUCACACAGUUGAUUUCAAUUCCUUCAGAUUUUUGUACAUUGAACAUCACUAAGCAAGAAAUCACUGAGCAAGGAAACCAUUAGCCAUCUCCAAAUGCAAGCCUUCACAAAUAAAAACACUUACAGAAGAGUGGGGAAGAAUUGUGUUCUUUUUUUCUUUUCCCUCAAUGUUUAACAUUCAUUAUUCUAAAACAUCUCAACAAUCCAUAUGUAUGUCAGGAACAGUUUCCAAAGGAUGAUAGACACCAGGCUCCUUCUGCAAGCCUUCAUUACUUUACUUGGGUCUGAAUCACAAGGAAUUCCGAGUAUUGAUGCUGCAGGAAAGAUGUCUUUCCGAGGGGAAUUGGCAGAGAAUGUGAGCAGAAAGUCUAAGAAGACAAGAUGAACCAUCUUCUCAUAUAAGCAUGUGUGUGCCUAACAGACACUAACAGUGUAAUGUCAUAUUGGGGUGCACACCUUUUUAAAUUUUUUAAUCCUGUAAAGGGGCCUGUCUAGUAAAAAGAGCUGAAAUUCCUAAUCCGUGGAUAAUCCUCAUCUCUCCCUUCAGGGACUGCAGUUGCCUUCCCCAGGCAAACUUCAUCAGAGCUCUCAAGAGUGAGCCAAAUGGACAGAUCUGAGUUUCACCCCCUUAAUGAAGCAUGGUGAAGGACCAAAAGGCAGCCUGCUAAAAGAUAAAAUAAAAGGCACCCAGGGUCUUCAUGUUCCAAGUGGCUAAUUGGCCCCUAAAAAAUAGCACUGUGUUAAUGCCUGUGGAUUCGUAACAGAACAGCAGGGUCCCCCUGAAGAAGACCUUACCAACUGGGGGUCACCACAGCAGUGAGAUUCUCAGCUCAUGUCCUUUGUCCCUACUGAAAGCACUGCCAGCUUUUCUUCCUGUUACUUUGCCAUUUAGAGCACUUGUGAGAUAGGAAUGGGGGCUGGGAGAAGAGGGAAGAGAAAAAAAUUUUCUUAUGUUUUCUCUGCUACAUACAGAGACUCUGACCAAAAUAUUAAUUUUGGAGAUAUCUUCUUUUUAUGGUCUACCAUUGCAUUUGAUCUAUAAUAUCAAUCACAUUUUUUAAAAAAAGGUAUAAUGAAAUGGAAAAAACAGAAUGCCUAGAAAAGGAAAACCAGAAGGAAAAAAAAUAUAUCCCAAAUCAGAUUAGAAAGUGUGCAUAGAAAAAUCUUGCUUCCAUGUGAGACUGCUACCCAUUUGUUCACACUAAAGGUGUUUGCAGUAGAUAUUUACAUAAUAAUACCUUCUUCAGUGGCCUUUCCUUAACUGUUUAUUGAAAGCCCUUCUGGCUAUUCUAACAGUUUCUAAGCAUCUGCUUUUAUUUCAGGUGAAGAGAAGUUCAAAGUGUGCCUAUGAAGAUAGUAUAAAUCCAUAAUUUGACUUCCUAAAGUCCCCUGACUGAAAUGCACUAUUUCUCAGCUAGACCUUGAGUCCAUGCAAGAAUGUAACUUGAAUUAUACAAUGAAUUUGAGAUUUUAAAAAACUCCACUUUUUGCCCCAGCUCUCCUCCCUCUCUCUCCUGGUAGGUUUAUUCCUGUUUUCUCUUUCUCCUUCUUUGGGCUUCUUUGCCUUUUCCUUCUGGGCGUCCCGAAUCUGACAAAAGAAGGAGCCUAAAACUAAUGAACACGACUCAUAGUUUAAUACUUGACAUUUGGAACCACAUUCAAACAGCCUCCAUCUGUGUUGGUAGCACGUGUCCCCAAGGAAAAUUCCAACUGUGUACAUGUGGGGAUCUUCUUAGAGCAAAGAUAGUUUCAAAUUAAAGAGAAUAUCUGCAUUUAAAUAGAAAUCAACUAUUAACAACUUGAUUAUCUGAAAUAGCCAAAAAAAAAAAAAAAACAUUGUUGAUUGAUCAGUGAAUCCUUUUUUCCACCAAAGUUAAAAUGAUUUCAAGGACCACUAGAUGAGCCACAUGACUAUCACACAGCACAGAUGAGGGUCAUUUUUACCUUCCUUUGAACUACCAGCCCUUUGUUCACCUUUGAACCUGGGUUAAGCCCAUUACUUAUUCCAAAGCUUUUGUGGCUUAGAGGACACUGUGGUGGGAGAAGAGCAGUCCUGUUCUGUAAACUGCAAAGAGAUACACACAGAUCUCUAGACACAUCUCCUCCUUCAGGUGAAACUUCCUUAGUAGGCUGAAGUUUCCUCCUUUGGAAGUUUCCAUAAAGGGCUAAGAAACAAAGUCUUUCUAAUCUUGUUCCCAUGCAUCUGUGUAUUUGAAGAUUAAGAUUAUUUGUGUUUAGAGAGCACAGCGGCCACUUAGAUACCUCUCCAGCGGGCAGAGGCUG
Molecule: long non-coding RNA, 4316 nt
Filed under: Marmota monax (woodchuck)
Lineage: Eukaryota; Metazoa; Chordata; Mammalia; Rodentia; Sciuridae
Source: RNAcentral